GUAAUGAAGUGAGUGUAGGAUGUAGUCAG
RNAcentral lists this non-coding RNA (29 nucleotides) under Cricetulus griseus (Chinese hamster). The record is from RNAcentral. Lineage: Eukaryota; Metazoa; Chordata; Mammalia; Rodentia; Cricetidae.